RNAcentral lists this ribosomal RNA (305 nucleotides) under uncultured bacterium. RNAcentral describes it as "partial 16S ribosomal RNA". It matches the Rfam family "Bacterial small subunit ribosomal RNA", at positions 337 to 644 of the family's 1533-position model. The record is from RNAcentral.
GCCUACGGGGGGCAGCAGUGGGGAAUAUUGCACAAUGGGGGAAACCCUGGUGCAGCGACGCCGCGUGAGUGAAGAAGUAUCUCGGUACGUAAAGCUCUAUCAGCAGGGAAGAAAAAAAGUCUUUGGCUUUGGACGGUACCUGACUAAGAAGCCCCGGCUAACUACGUGCCAGCAGCCGCGGUAAUACGUAGGGGGCAAGCGUUAUCCGGAUUUACUGGGUGUAAAGGGAGCGUAGACGGCAGCGCAAGUCUGGAGUGAAAUGCCGGGGCUCAACCCCGGAAUUGCUUUGGAAAUUGUGCAGGUAG